GAGAGCUAAUGUUUGUUGGGUAUUUUGGUUUGACACUGCUUCACACCCAAAAAGAAGGGAGCUACGUCUGAGUGAAACUUGGAGAUGGAAGUCUUCUUUCGUUUCUCGAUGGUGAAGUAAGACCAAGCUCAUGAGCUUAUUAUCCCAGGUCGGAACAAGUUGAUAGGAUCCCCUUUUUUACGUCCCCAUGCCCCCCCGUGUGGCGACAUGGGGGCAAAAAAAGGAAAGAGAGGGAUGGGUUUCUCUCACUUUUGGC
Molecule: long non-coding RNA, 256 nt
Filed under: Panax ginseng (ginseng)
Lineage: Eukaryota; Viridiplantae; Streptophyta; Magnoliopsida; Apiales; Araliaceae
Description: long non-coding RNA (PGIN_LNC014918)
Source: RNAcentral